CCAAAGGUGGCCUCUACAUGUAAGCUAUCGCGUCGGGAUGGGCCCAGUUAGGAUUAGCUAGUUGGUAAGGUAAUGGCUUACCAAGGCGACGAUCCUUAGCUGGUUUGAGAGGAUGAUCAGCCACACUGGGACUGAGACACGGCCCAGACUCCUACGGGAGGCAGCAGUGGGGAAUAUUGCACAAUGGGGGAGACCCUGAUGCAGCCAUGCCGCGUGUGUGAAGAAGGCCUUCGGGUUGUAAAGCACUUUCAGCAGUGAGGAAGGUAGUGUACUUAAUACGUGCAUUGCUUGACGUUAGCUGCAGAAGAAGCACCGGCUAACUCCGUGCCAGCAGCCGCGGUAAUACGGAGGGUGCGAGCGUUAAUCGGAAUUACUGGGCGUAAAGCGCAUGCAGGCGGUUUGUUAAGUCAGAUGUGAAAGCCCGGGGCUCAACCUCGGAACCGCAUUUGAAACUGGCAGGCUAGAGUCUUGUAGAGGGGGGUAGAAUUUCAGGUGUAGCGGUGAAAUGCGUAGAGAUCUGAAGGAAUACCAGUGGCGAAGGCGGCCCCCUGGACAAAGACUGACGCUCAGAUGCGAAAGCGUGGGUAGCAAACAG
This 595-nucleotide ribosomal RNA is filed under the name Salinivibrio sp. TA15. RNAcentral's name for it is "bacterial SSU rRNA". It matches the Rfam family "Bacterial small subunit ribosomal RNA", at positions 201 to 775 of the family's 1533-position model. Lineage: Bacteria; Pseudomonadati; Pseudomonadota; Gammaproteobacteria; Vibrionales; Vibrionaceae. RNAcentral also lists the same sequence under 1 other name. The record is from RNAcentral.